Molecule: microRNA, 22 nt
Filed under: Lepisosteus oculatus (spotted gar)
Lineage: Eukaryota; Metazoa; Chordata; Actinopteri; Semionotiformes; Lepisosteidae
Description: Loc-Novel-3_5p (mature (guide))
Source: RNAcentral
UAAAGAUUUAUUCCAUGCUAGA